This 66-nucleotide transfer RNA is filed under the name Pseudocarcinus gigas. RNAcentral's name for it is "tRNA-Ala". The record is from RNAcentral. Lineage: Eukaryota; Metazoa; Arthropoda; Malacostraca; Decapoda; Eriphiidae.
UAGACCAUAGUCAAUAUCUAUGACAUAUGAGUUGCAUUCAUAAAGAGUUCAAAAGAACUGGUUUAC